Syngnathoides biaculeatus (alligator pipefish) is the source of this 2277-nucleotide long non-coding RNA. RefSeq lists it as uncharacterized. The record is from RefSeq and is a predicted model, not a curated record. The transcript has 3 exons. Lineage: Eukaryota; Metazoa; Chordata; Actinopteri; Syngnathiformes; Syngnathidae.
CUUUCACACGCAAUUUCUGGUGAUGAUCCGAUGGUGCGGCACCAGAGCUUGGGCAGUGGCGCUCAAAUGGAGGAAGCUAGGUGGGCGGUGUCCACGGGCUGGAGGUGAUCGAUCAGAAGCCGUCGACGAAGCACUUAAAGCGAAACAUGAUGCUAUCAGUUACUCAGAGCACAUCUGUGUCUUAACCCAAGCCAAGGAAAGUCAAAUUAGGUACCAGGUAGUGCAAUUACAAGUUUGUACCAUGGCUGUGUCAAGAAACCUGAUUAAACAGGUGAUGCUCCCGCACCACUGGUGGGUGCAAUGAGCCACCCCUCCCCUGUCAUUGGGAUCUUUCAUCCAACGAGGCUGAGGUGUCCAUAAGCUUUUACUUUAGAUUUUUGGUGUAGUUGAAAUUAAUUUGGAUGCACACGGGGUUUGUAUUAUGUUGGAAUGCAUUCAGCAUGCUUUUAUCACAGAAUUUUCAGUUUCUUUGCAUUUUCACUGAACUAUUACAUUAAUCACUGAUUUGUAGAUAUCUGAAGAGAUUGUAGGAUUUAUGUUUUAAUCUUUGGAAGCUCAGCAAGUCCUUAUUUUCUAUUGCUGUACCUAUUGCAUUAAUAACCAUGUCAUUGACUAAUCCUGCAACAAGAUUGAAUCCAUUGAAUUGAAACCAAUUUAAUUCUCUAUUCAAAGGAAUUCAAUCUUCCCUUAGUAAUGAUUGAAUCCUCUAAUUUAUGUAAUUAUUAUUACACCAAAAAAUAGAUAGGGUGCAUAAAAAUAUUCUUUCAAAUUUGGGAUAGCCAAUCACAUUUAUUCAUUGGCAGCUGAAGUCUAUUUUUCUUGAGAUAAAAGUGGAUAGCAGGCUGAAAAGCGACCCCUGAGGACCUCUACUGGUAGACAUUGGAAUAUGCACAACAGCCUUGGUAAAGUCCGUCCAUCCAGUUUCUUAGCCGCUUAUCCUCAUGGGUCGUGGGGAGGGUUAGGGUUAGGGUUAUCACAGCUGUCAACAGGCAGGAGGUGGGGUACACCCUGAACUGGUUGCCAGCCAAUCGCAGGGCACAUAGAGACAAACAUUCACACUCACAAUCAUACCUAGGGGCAAUUUAGAGUGUCCAAUUUGUGUUGCAUGUUUUUGGGUUGUGGGAGGAAACCGGAGUGCCCGGAGAAAACCCACGCAGGCACGGGGAGAACAUACAAACUCCACACAGGUGGGGACGGGAUCGAACCCGGGUCCUCAGAACUGAGGCCAACGCGUGACAAACUGAUCCACCGUGCCGCCAUGCAUUGGUAAAGUAUUAAUUUUAAUGACAAUCCUGCCAAAAUCGAAAGGAUAACUGGUUCAUCGCUAAUCAACGUGUCUAAUGUUUUGAGUUACCUGGUUCUAAUUGAUGUCAUAACUUCCUUUGGUUCCUUACCAUAUUUACCACAAAACAAUUUAUUAACCUCAUAUUCCAUCUGUAAUCCUAUUUUUGUUUCAUUUCUGAGGGAACAAUAGUCAUUUUCUCGGAGGUGUUGGUUCAGUUAAAACAACAUUGAUAUCUAGUGCAUAUUUAGUUGAUUACCUGAAACUUACUGAAGAUGUGUACUGUAUUUUGCUGUUGCACUUUUGCAUUUAGAGGACGCCCCGUAGCUCAAUGGCUAGAGCACUGUUUUGGUAAACCAGGGGUUGUGGGUUCGUAUCCCACUGGGGCCUCCACUCCCUGAGAAGGGUUGCGUCAGGAAGGGCGUCCGGCGUAAAAAAAUUGUGCCAAACAUAUAUGCUUUAAUCUGAGAUAAGAUGUGGCGACGCCGAAAGGAAAACAACAACUCUUGCAUUUAGAAGGGGAACUCUGGCCUACACAAGAUUACCAUCUCAAUGGUCCCAAUCCAGUCACAUGCAAAACAGAUUUUAUGAACUGGGUGAAAGGUUUGAUACUCGAGAAAGGUUAAUUGUCAUAUGAUAUUACAACGUUAAGAAAGUUUAGGGGGGAAAAAACUUCCAUAAACACCUUUAGUCUGGAUAAAAAUAUUGUUGGCCUGAAUAGUUUCCAUACGCUACAUAGAUGAAGUGGCAAGCAAAGUUGUAUAAGCGUCUUUGGAGUCAGACAGUGAAGAUAUUUUUACAACAAUGAAAACUUUAAAAUGCCGAAAUGAAGUCAGGGACAUGAACCCAUUGAUUUCUGACUCCAACUGCUGAGAUGAGCAACCAAUAAAGGGAACCAAUAAAAAAAAAGACAUGACCUGGCUACCAACAUUUAUGGAUAUACAUUUUUUUCAGCUUUUUUUGAUAAUUACAAUGAGGGAAAAAAAACACCAGAA